Molecule: ribosomal RNA, 301 nt
Filed under: uncultured soil bacterium
Lineage: Bacteria
Description: bacterial SSU rRNA
Rfam family: Bacterial small subunit ribosomal RNA
Source: RNAcentral
AGAUUGAACGCUGGCGGCAUGCCUUACACAUGCAAGUCGAACGGCAGCACGGGAGCAAUCCUGGUGGCGAGUGGGCGAACGGGUGAGUAAUAUAUCGGAACGUGCCCAGUCGUGGGGGGAUAACGCAGUGAAGCUGUGCUAAUACCGCAUACGAUCUAUGGAUGAAAGCGGGGGACUCGACAAGAGCCUCGACGCGAUUGGAGCCGGCCGAUAUCACGAUUAGACUAGUUGGUGGGUAAAAGCCCACAAGGCGACGAUCUGUAGCUGGUCUGAGAGGACGACAGCCACACUGAACUGAGAC